Molecule: ribosomal RNA, 73 nt
Filed under: Staphylococcus chromogenes
Lineage: Bacteria; Bacillati; Bacillota; Bacilli; Caryophanales; Staphylococcaceae
Source: RNAcentral
GUCGGUGGCAUUAGCGGUGGGGAAACGCCCGGUCCCGUUCCGAACCCGGAAGCUAAGCCCACCAGCGCCGAUG